This is a small nuclear RNA of Sorex fumeus (smoky shrew), 163 nucleotides long. RefSeq annotates it as U1 spliceosomal RNA. The transcript has a single exon. The record is from RefSeq and is a predicted model, not a curated record. NCBI's taxonomy places the organism in Eukaryota, Metazoa, Chordata, Mammalia, Eulipotyphla, Soricidae.
AUGCUUACCUGGCAGGGGAGAUAUCAUUAUCACGAAGUUGUUUACCCCAGGGUGAGACUUAUCCAUUGCACUCUGGGUAUACUGGCCCCUGUGAUUUCCCCAAAUGUGGGGAACCCACUGCAUAAUUUGUGAUAAUGGGGGACUGUGUUUACACUCUUCUCUA